This 951-nucleotide unclassified non-coding RNA is filed under the name Hevea brasiliensis (rubber tree). Lineage: Eukaryota; Viridiplantae; Streptophyta; Magnoliopsida; Malpighiales; Euphorbiaceae. The record is from RNAcentral.
GCUGGGAUCCAAGCAGAGCAUUUUCUGGCAUGUUAAAAGCACAUACAUAAGCAAAUGCAAGGACAGACAUCACAGCAGAGAUUCAAAAUUAAGUUGCAUAGAAUCUGUACAUCAUUAAUCAUAUAGAUGGCAUAAUGCUCAUAAAAAGCUGCCAAACAAUCACAAGUGAACAAAUUUUAAUCUCAAGAUUAUAAAAAUAACAAAAUAUUAUAUUAGUCGAACCCAAGCAUCAGAAAAGAACGUGCCCUUCCCCCUCAUUAAGAGCGAAUGUUGUCAUCAAGCCAUUUCAGGUAAUAAUCAAUUUAUUUGGAAGACUCCACUAAAUAUACUCCAACUAGUUUGGGAUUAAGGCUUAGUUGUUGUUGUUGUUGUUGUUGUAUCAUAUAUUGCAACACACCAAGAGGAAGAAAUUGUCAUCCAAACAGGCAUGUUUUUCCACCUUCCACCAAUGCAAUGCGCAUUUCACACUCUGAAAUUAGCCAAAGGCCUAGUAUUGGUACGCUUUCUAUGGAAACUCAAAAGCAAGUUGAAAGGAACCAGACCCCUUGACCUAAAUGCUUGCACAUUAAUGCGUUUGAUGAAAUCUAUACCCCUCCUAGGACUAUGAUCUGUGAGGACCAAUGCUAGACAAUGGGCUUUCAAGGCUCACUUAAAGUAAACAGCACUUUGUGCUUCCUUUCAAUUUUCCACAGUUAAAGCAGUUAUGGAAGUCCUGACAAUGACUUUAUAAAGUACUAGUAAGCCAUCUGUGUGCGCCCUUCAAACUAAUAAGAAAAAAAUGACUUCCUCCCAAAUAUAAAGUCAUUUCUUUCAUCAAAUCAUAAGGAAUAUGAGAAACAAGUAAAAAGAAACUUUUGCUUACGAUAAUAAACUCCAGAUCACUGAGAGUAAGCACAGGAUUAAAAUAAAAACAGUUUGAUCAGACUCACCUGUCGUCUUUAUUCAAUAAAA